GUCGGGGUGGGCCAUCCAAGGAUAGUUCGCAAGCUUUUAUGCUCAUUGUAGAUUCAUGGCCCAAAAUUGGUAUAUUUGGCGGAGACAAGAGAAAAGGAGGAUAGAGUGAAGAAUUUGAAGUGGAUGCUUGGGUUGAGUACGUGUUUUGUGGUGAAUGGUGAUGGAAAGGGAGGAGGGGUUGCAUUGUUUUGGGACGAGGCUUUAUGUAACGCCCUGGUUUUUGGUCCUUUCUCUUUUUGCUAUUUCUUAUAUUGA
Molecule: ribosomal RNA, 255 nt
Filed under: Triticum aestivum (bread wheat)
Lineage: Eukaryota; Viridiplantae; Streptophyta; Magnoliopsida; Poales; Poaceae
Description: partial small subunit ribosomal RNA
Source: RNAcentral